RNAcentral lists this long non-coding RNA (489 nucleotides) under Nicotiana benthamiana. RNAcentral's name for it is "long non-coding RNA (NBEN_LNC004698)". Lineage: Eukaryota; Viridiplantae; Streptophyta; Magnoliopsida; Solanales; Solanaceae. The record is from RNAcentral.
AAAAACCUAACCUAGUCUUGGAGAAAAAAAGAAAAAAAAAUUGACCUAGAGGUAUAGACACUAAAAGAAAAUUUGAGCGUCAUUCUUAACACAAAGAGACCCAUAAGCUUUUUCUUCCUUCUUCAUUUUGAACACCCAUCGAGACCCCUCCUCUCCAAGACCAGCAUCUCCAGACCUUCACGCCAAAUAACCACCCUCCAUAGCCACUUCUAUACCACUCUCUCCGAAGCAGAAGGUCGAACUCCCCAAGCUUCACUCACCAGUCGCCGGAUUUGAUCACCGAUGGGUAUGAUCGACCAUUCAUGUAGGAAAACAAUUUAAAGGUAGAAGACCUUUAAAUAUAAGAAGGAAAGAGAUUUUGUUUAGUUGAUAAAUGAAGAAAUGGAGGUAGUUUGGAAGGUUUAAUAUAUGUAGCUAUAUGGAGAGAGACUUUUGUAAUUCUUUAACUUUUAUUACACAAGGGAUCACUUUGGUAACACACUUGGGCUC